UGGGGAAUAUUGGACAAUGGGCGAAAGCCUGAUCCAGCGACGCCGCGUGGGUGAAGAAGGCCUGCGGGUUGUAAAGCCCUUUCGGUGGGGAAGAAAAGCCUCGAGUUAAUACCUCGGGGUCUUGACGUAACCCAUAGAAGAAGCACCGGCUAACUCUGUGCCAGCAGCCGCGGUAAUACAGAGGGUGCGAGCGUUAAUCGGAAUUACUGGGCGUAAAGCGCGCGUAGGCGGCUUUGCAAGUCGGGUGUGAAAUCCCCAGGCUUAACCUGGGAACUGCAUUCGAGACUGCAUUGCUAGAGUAUGGGAGAGGGAAGUGGAAUUUCCGGUGUAGCGGUGAAAUGCGUAGAUAUCGGAAGGAACAUCAGUGGCGAAAGCGACUUCCUGGACCAAUACUGACGCUCAUGUGCGAAAGCGUGGGGAGCAAACAGGAUUAGAUACCCUGGUAGUCCACGCCAUAAACGAUGAGAACU
This 470-nucleotide ribosomal RNA is filed under the name uncultured Pseudomonadota bacterium. Its description in RNAcentral is "bacterial SSU rRNA". It matches the Rfam family "Bacterial small subunit ribosomal RNA", at positions 355 to 817 of the family's 1533-position model. Lineage: Bacteria; Pseudomonadati; Pseudomonadota. The record is from RNAcentral.